This 492-nucleotide ribosomal RNA is filed under the name uncultured bacterium. RNAcentral's name for it is "partial 16S ribosomal RNA". It matches the Rfam family "Bacterial small subunit ribosomal RNA", at positions 29 to 507 of the family's 1533-position model. The record is from RNAcentral.
AGUGAACGCUGGCGGUAGGCCUAACUCAUGCAAGUCGAACGGCAGCACAGUAAGAGCUUGCUCUUACGGGUGGCGAGUGGCGGACGGGUGAGGAAUACAUCGGAAUCUACUUUUUCGUGGGGGAUAAUGUAGGGAAACUUACGCUAAUACCGCAUACGACCUACGGGUGAAAGCAGGGGAUCUUCGGACCUUGCGCGAUUGAAUGAGCCGAUGUCGGAUUAGCUAGUUGGCGGGGUAAAGGCCCACCAAGGCGACGAUCCGUAGCUGGUCUGAGAGGAUGAUCAGCCACACUGGAACUGAGACACGGUCCAGACUCCUACGGGAGGCGGCAGUGGGGAAUAUUGGACAAUGGGCGCAAGCCUGAUCCAGCCAUACCGCGUGGGUGAAGAAGGCCUUCGGGUUGUAAAGCCCUUUUGUUGGGAAAGAAAAGCAGCAGGUUAAUACCCCGCUGUUCUGACGGUACCCAAAGAAUAAGCACCGGCUAACUUCGUG